CGGACCAGUGAUGAUGACUGGUGGCGUAUGAGUCCUGGAUGAUGAAUAAUACGUGUCUGGAAGUCUGAGGUCUGG
This is a small nucleolar RNA of Cebus imitator (Panamanian white-faced capuchin), 75 nucleotides long. RefSeq annotates it as small nucleolar RNA SNORD113/SNORD114 family. The transcript has a single exon. The record is from RefSeq and is a predicted model, not a curated record. NCBI's taxonomy places the organism in Eukaryota, Metazoa, Chordata, Mammalia, Primates, Cebidae.